This is a non-coding RNA of Schistosoma margrebowiei, 46 nucleotides long. Lineage: Eukaryota; Metazoa; Platyhelminthes; Trematoda; Strigeidida; Schistosomatidae. The record is from Rfam.
AUCCAGCUGACGAGUCCCAAAUAGGAUGAAACGUGCAUCAUUGGAU